UCUUCGUGUGAUCGACCGUUGCGAUUUUCGAACGACUACCGAACACUUUAAAUUCCAGUUUUUUUUUCAGAAUUUAAGCUGUCAUUUAAAGGCAAAGGGAACAUUUGAAAUUCAAAACAAAUUUUCAACUCAUGAUUCUAAAUUUGAAAUGAAUAUUUUAAAUAAUCGGCUAUAUGGAAACAAUCGCAGCCUUCAUUCUAUAUAAGCUAUCCCGUUCGCGCUCGCAACUAAUUGAAUAUGACUAUCCUGGUCUAAUGCGACAUGCGACAAACAGUGACAUCUACGUGUCGUCAACCAAUGACAAAAGCGGAGCUUCCAUUGGCCGAAAUACCUACUCAACAAAUAAUCCUGAAAAACAUAAAAACUUGCUACCCCAAAUCACUUUCGAACCAACGAUUUAAUGUAAGCUAUUCUUUAUAAAUUAAUCUAAAAUAA
Molecule: long non-coding RNA, 435 nt
Organism: Bombyx mori (domestic silkworm)
Lineage: Eukaryota; Metazoa; Arthropoda; Insecta; Lepidoptera; Bombycidae
Exons: 2
Source: RefSeq, a predicted model, not a curated record